GGAAUAUUGCACAAUGGGCGAAAGCCUGAUGCAGCGACGCCGCGUGUGUGAAGAAGUAUUUCGGCAUGUAAAGCUCUAUCAGCAGGGAAGAAAAUGACAGUACCUGACUAAGACUCCCCGGCUAACUCCGUGCGAGCAGCCGCGGUAAUACGUAGGGGGCAAGCGUUAUCCGGAUUUACUGGGUGUAAAGGGAGCGUAGACGGCGAAGCAAGUCUGAAGUGAAAACCCAGGGCUCAACCCUGGGACUGCUUUGGAAACUGUUUUGCUAGAGUGUCGGAGAGGUAAGUGGAAUUCCUAGUGUAGCGGUGAAAUGCGUAGAUAUUAGGAGGAACACCAGUGGCGAAGGCGGCUUACUGGACGAUAACUGACGUUGAGGCUCGAAAGCGUGGGGAGCAAACA
Molecule: ribosomal RNA, 399 nt
Filed under: uncultured bacterium
Lineage: Bacteria
Description: bacterial SSU rRNA
Rfam family: Bacterial small subunit ribosomal RNA
Source: RNAcentral